AGGACGAACGCUGGCGGCGCGCCUAACACAUGCAAGUCGAGCGAGAACCAGGGCUUGCCCUGGGGAAAGCGGCGAACGGGUGCGUAACACGUGAGCAACCUGCCCCAAAGACCGGGACAACCCGAGGAAACUCGGACUAAUACCGGAUGCCCUCACCGGGCCGCAUGGUCUGGUGAGGAAAUGGAUUCCGCUUUGGGAUGGGCUCGCGGUCUAUCAGCUUGUUGGUGGGGUAACGGCCUACCAAGGCGACGACGGAUAGCUGGUCUGAGAGGACGAUCAGCCACACUGGGACUGAGACACGGCCCAGACUCCUACGGAGGCAGCAGUGGGGAAUCUUGCGCAAUGGGGGAAACCCUGACGCAGCGACGCCGCGUGCGGGAUGAAGGCCUUCGGGUUGUAACCGCUUUCAGCAGGGACGAAAGUUGACGGUACCUGCAGAAGAGGCCCGGCCAACUACGCGCUAGCAGCCGC
This 471-nucleotide ribosomal RNA is filed under the name uncultured bacterium. RNAcentral's name for it is "SSU rRNA". It matches the Rfam family "Bacterial small subunit ribosomal RNA", at positions 26 to 518 of the family's 1533-position model. The record is from RNAcentral.